GUAGGAUAGAGGCCUACCAUGGUGGUAACGGGUAACGGGGUGUUAGGGCACGACACCAGAGAGGGAGCCUGAGAAACGGCUACCACAUCCAAGGAUGGCAGCAGGCGCGCAAAUUACCCAAUCCCGACACGGGGAGGUAGUGACAAUAAAUAACAAUACGGGGUUCUUUAGGAUUUCGUAAUUGGAAUGAGUACAAUUUAAAUCUCUUAACGAGGAACAAUUGGAGGGCAAGUCUGGUGCCAGCAGCCGCGGUAAUUCCAGCUCCAAUAGCGUAUAUUAAAGUUGUUGCAGUUAAAAAGCUCGUAGUUGAAUUUCGGGGUCAGUAGGUUGGUCAUGCCACUGGUAUGUACUGGUCUCACUGAUUCCUCCUUCCUGAUGAGCCGUAAUGCCAUUAAUUUGGUGUUGCGAGGAAUCUGGACUGUUACUUUGAAAAAAUUAGUGUGUUUAAAGCAGGCUAACGCUUGAAUACAUUAGCAUGGAAUAAUGAAAUAGGACGUUCGAUCUUAUUUUGUUGGUUUCUAAGAUUGACGUAAUGAUUAAUAGGGAUAGUUGGGGGCAUUAGUAUUCAAUUGUCAGAGGUGAAAUUCUUGGAUUUAUUGAAGACUAACUACUGCGAAAGCAUUUGCCAAGGAUGUUUUCAUUAAUCAAGAACGAAAGUUAGGGGAUCGAAGACGAUCAGAUACCGUCGUAGUCUUAGCCAUAAACUAUGCCGACUAGGGAUCGGAUGAUGUUAAUUUUUUAAUGACUCAUUCGGCGCCUUACGGGAAACCAAAGUGUUUGGGUUC
RNAcentral lists this ribosomal RNA (785 nucleotides) under uncultured Glomus. RNAcentral's name for it is "SSU rRNA". It matches the Rfam family "Eukaryotic small subunit ribosomal RNA", at positions 328 to 1114 of the family's 1831-position model. Lineage: Eukaryota; Fungi; Glomeromycota; Glomeromycetes; Glomerales; Glomeraceae. The record is from RNAcentral.